GAUGAAGAACGCAGCGAAAUGCGAUAAGUAAUGUGAAUUGCAGAAUUCAGUGAAUCAUCGAAUCUUUGAACGCACAUUGCGCCCCUUGGUAUUCCGAGGGGCAUGCCUGCUCGAGCGUCAUUAUAACCCCUCAAGCUCAGCUUGGUGUUGGGGCCUGCUGCACUGGCAGCCCUUAAAAUCAGUGGCGGCGCCAUCUGGCUCUAAGCGUAGUAAUUCUUCUCGCUAUGGAGUCCUGGUGGAUGCUUGCCAUCAACCCCCAAUUUUUCUAUGGUUGACCUCGGAUCAGGUAGGGAUACCCGCUGAACUUAAGCAUAUCAAUAAGCGGAGG
This 328-nucleotide unclassified non-coding RNA is filed under the name soil metagenome. RNAcentral's name for it is "partial contains 5.8S ribosomal RNA, internal transcribed spacer 2, and large subunit ribosomal RNA". The stretch from base 1 to 120 matches the Rfam family "5.8S ribosomal RNA", at positions 35 to 154 of the family's 154-position model. The record is from RNAcentral.